This 258-nucleotide unclassified non-coding RNA is filed under the name Hevea brasiliensis (rubber tree). Lineage: Eukaryota; Viridiplantae; Streptophyta; Magnoliopsida; Malpighiales; Euphorbiaceae. The record is from RNAcentral.
AGAACCCAGUUGGGAAGUAGUUGCAGAAUCCAUUGUUUCUCAUCUUCUGGUAUCAACAGAACGCAUAUACCACUGGGUUACCGACAUGGUCCUCGAUGAUGGUGCUCCAAAUGUGCAACCUAUUGACGAAAGUGAAAAUGACAUGGUUGCUUUUCUAUUGCCUGUGAUGCAUCAGGUCUGUUUAUCUUUGAAAGAUUAUUUACCCCUGGAGAAGCAGCUUAGGCUUGCCAACAUUGUGGUCAAAUGAGGCUUGUUAAU